AGAAUCAACGCUGGCGGCGUGCCUAACACAUGCAAGUCGAACGCGAAAGGGGAGCAAUCCCUGAGUAGAGUGGCAAACGGGUGAGUAACACGUGGGUGACCUGCCUUCGAGUGGGGGAUAACGUCCCGAAAGGGACGCUAAUACCGCAUGAUAUCCUGCUCUUGGAUGAGUGGAGAUCAAAGCUGGGGAUCGCAAGACCUGGCGCUUGAAGAGGGGCCCGCGCCUGAUUAGCUAGUUGGUGGGGUAACGGCCUACCAAGGCAACGAUCAGUA
RNAcentral lists this ribosomal RNA (272 nucleotides) under uncultured bacterium. Its description in RNAcentral is "partial small subunit ribosomal RNA". It matches the Rfam family "Bacterial small subunit ribosomal RNA", at positions 26 to 285 of the family's 1533-position model. The record is from RNAcentral.